This is a non-coding RNA of Podarcis lilfordi (Lilford's wall lizard), 65 nucleotides long. The record is from the annotation of a GenBank genome assembly. Lineage: Eukaryota; Metazoa; Chordata; Lepidosauria; Squamata; Lacertidae.
GCCUUGCAGCUCAAUCGAUAGAGCAUGAGAUCUCAGGGUUGUGGGUUCGAGCCUCACGUUGGGCA